UACAGAGGUCUCGAGCGUUAGGCGGAAUCACUGGGCUUAAAGCGUGUGUAGGCGGAUCGUUAAGUACCUCGUGAAAUCCCACGGCUUAACCGUGGAACUGCUUGGUAUACUGGCGGUCUUGAGCCAGCUAGGGGCUACCGGAACAAAUGGUGGAGCGGUGAAAUGCGUAGAUAUCAUUUGGAACGCCAAUGGUGAAAACAGGUAGCUGGGGCUGUGCUGACGCUGAGACACGAAAGCCAGGGGAGCAAACGGG
RNAcentral lists this ribosomal RNA (253 nucleotides) under uncultured bacterium. RNAcentral's name for it is "partial 16S ribosomal RNA". It matches the Rfam family "Bacterial small subunit ribosomal RNA", at positions 524 to 776 of the family's 1533-position model. The record is from RNAcentral.